Salvia hispanica is the source of this 1684-nucleotide long non-coding RNA. RefSeq lists it as uncharacterized. NCBI's taxonomy places the organism in Eukaryota, Viridiplantae, Streptophyta, Magnoliopsida, Lamiales, Lamiaceae. The record is from RefSeq and is a predicted model, not a curated record.
AUUUCUCAAAGAAAAAGAAAUCCCCAAAUUGGAGAAAUGGAAUCCCUAAUUCUUCUCCCCCUUCGUCUCGGCUACAUCGCCGCUCAACUGGGUCGUCGGAGCACCGCCGGCUCCAGCUCCUCGGCGUCACGGAGUCACCGGCGGCUCGUGCCAGCAAGUUCCGCCGUCGCCGCACGGCUGAGGCAGACGCUCUCGGUCCGCUUCGCGGGCCAGCGCCGCCGCCGCCGCCUCGCAGCGCAACCCUCCGUCGGUCACCGCCGCUGUUCCGCGACUAGCCGCCGCCUCUGGUCUCUUCGUCGCUGGUGUCGCGCCGUCGGAGAAGGAGAGGAAGCAUCGCCUCUCUCUUACACCGACUGCCACCGUCGCGACAGUCAACCGCCGGCGCUCUGUUGCCGGCGUCACCGUGCCACUGCCGACUCGUGCCGGCGCCUUCCGUCUCCGUCCAGCUCUCUCUAUCUCUCUCCCGGACAGAAACAACACCUCUUCCAUCUCUCGUCUUCUCCGGCGAAUUCAUACCCGGAGUGGCCCCCUUUUUGCGGUCGAACACCGCUGUUUGUUGCUCGGCUGGACUGCCCUUGCCGCUGCUCCGCCGUCGGGUCGCCGCUGUCUCGCAGUCAGCGCCGCCAUCUCCGACAAAACUCCUAAAGCUAAGUUCUCCAUUCCAUUCUUUCCUAGUGUAGUUAUUUAGCUUAAAUGAACUAAGUCUAUGGCAAUCUGUAAAUUGAGCAUUGGGGACUUCUUUGAACUUGCUGUGACAGAUUUGAUUUCUUUGAUUUGGUGUUUGAAACUUAAGCUUUCACUUACUGGAAUGAGCUUGAUAUUUGGCUAAAGUGUUGAUCCUUUGAUUAUUAAAGUUUGCUACUGUUGUGAGGCUCCUACAGCCAUAAAUCUAUGUUCUUGAGCCUAGCAUGAUGUUCGAAACAAAAGCAGAGGGUGUGCUUGUGUUCUAUUGAUUGAGAUUCUUAAGUUGUGGUGCCUCUAUAUGAUGAUAUGAAAAAAGUAUAUAUGGGAGAAGGGUGGAGGUGUAUUACCUCUUGAAGCUGCGGCUGCUUUGAGAAUUCAGCUCUUAAAACCUCAGCUCUCUUCCUCUCAAACUUGCUAUGUUGCUGGAAAAAUUUGAAGGGGUGUAGGAGAGUGUUCAAAGGUGGCGUGGAGGGGAUUUUAUAGACAAGAGUGUGUACUCGUGAAGCCUUAAUUGAAGCUGUUGUAUUUCUUGUUAUUUCCUGCAGCAAAUCUCUCUUUUUUUUUAUACCUUGCCACUUUUAAUUAAGAAACUUUGGUGUUAUGCCUAUGCCUAGUACCCUUAUAUUUAUGGUCUCUUGUUUGUUUUUGAAGAGGUACAAGGUGGAGUUGCAGAGGCCGUUGGAAAAGGGUGGAGGGCAGACAUUGGCUUACCUUUUGGGAGAAUCUGCAAGUCCUCGGCUGUCAAGCUGCUGUCCGAGACGGGCUCGCUGCCUCGGGCCUUCGUGCUCGCUGCCUCGGGCCUUCGUGCUCGCUGCCUGGCUCAACGGCUGAUCGGAUAUGGUUUUUUUAGCUUUUUGGCCCAUUCAUGAUGACUAUUUGUAAAGUUUCCUAUUUUUUUUUUUUUAACUUCUAUUCAUGUAAGAUGAUCAUAUAAAUUAAAGUAUUAUUCGAGAUGUAUGCAAACACCUUCAUUCGGGGAAAAUCUUGUAUACUUGUAGCA